This 274-nucleotide ribosomal RNA is filed under the name uncultured bacterium. RNAcentral describes it as "partial 16S ribosomal RNA". It matches the Rfam family "Bacterial small subunit ribosomal RNA", at positions 523 to 796 of the family's 1533-position model. The record is from RNAcentral.
AUACGGUGGGUCCAAGCGUUAUCCGGAAUCAUUGGGUUUAAAGGGUCCGCAGGCGGUCAAUUAAGUCAGAGGUGAAAGCCCAUCGCUCAACGAUGGAACUGCCUUUGAUACUGGUUGACUUGAGUUAUACGGAAGUAGAUAGAAUAAGUAGUGUAGCGGUGAAAUGCAUAGAUAUUACUUAGAAUACCGAUUGCGAAGGCAGUCUACUACGUAUAUACUGACGCUGAGGGACGAAAGCGUGGGGAGCGAACAGAAUUAGAAACCCCAGUAGUCC